ACUGGGCAGGAGGCCGGGGAGCAAUCCCAGAAGACUUCAGGAGAAGACUUUCAGACCGUGUGCUGGGAGAACACAAGUCCACUUUCCUGUUUACUGUCAGAGACUUCACUGUCACCUCUUGUGGCUGUUCCCCACCCCCAACAGAACCUCUCCAAUGGAUUCCUAAUAUUCAGUUUGGAACCCUCAUCCAGUGGCUGACGGAAGCAGAGACAGACACCCACAACUAAAAAC
Long non-coding RNA from Mesocricetus auratus (golden hamster), 231 nucleotides. RefSeq lists it as uncharacterized. The transcript is spliced from 3 exons. The record is from RefSeq and is a predicted model, not a curated record. NCBI's taxonomy places the organism in Eukaryota, Metazoa, Chordata, Mammalia, Rodentia, Cricetidae.